UACGUAGGUGGCAAGCGUUGUCCGGAUUUACUGGGCGUAAAGAGCGCGCAGGCGGUCGUUCAAGUCGCGUGUGAAAGCCCCCGGCUCAACUGGGGAGGGUCACGCGAUACUGAUCGACUCGAAGGCAGGAGAGGGUAGUGGAAUUCCCGGUGUAGCGGUGAAAUGCGCAGAUAUCGGGAGGAACACCGGUGGCGAAGGCGGUUCUCUGGGCCUUACCUGACGCUGAGGAGCGAAAGCGUGGGGAGCGAACAGG
This 253-nucleotide ribosomal RNA is filed under the name uncultured bacterium. RNAcentral describes it as "partial 16S ribosomal RNA". It matches the Rfam family "Bacterial small subunit ribosomal RNA", at positions 524 to 776 of the family's 1533-position model. The record is from RNAcentral.